This 450-nucleotide ribosomal RNA is filed under the name uncultured bacterium. RNAcentral describes it as "partial 16S ribosomal RNA". It matches the Rfam family "Bacterial small subunit ribosomal RNA", at positions 338 to 795 of the family's 1533-position model. The record is from RNAcentral.
CCUACGGGGGGCUGCAGUGGGGAAUAUUGGACAAUGGGCGGAAGCCUGAUCCAGCAAUACCGCGUGUGUGAAGAAGGCCUGAGGGUUGUAAAGCACUUUCAAUAGGAAGGAAUACCUAUCCAUUAAUACUGGGUAGACUGACAUUACCUAUACAAGAAGCACCGGCUAACUCCGUGCCAGCAGCCGCGGUAAUACGGAGGGUGCAUGCGUGGGUCGGAAUUACUCGUCGUAAAGCGUUUAAGGGCGGUGUGAAAGCCCCGGGCUUAACCUGGGAAUGGCAUUUGAUACUGGCGAGCUAGAGUUGAGUAGAGGGGAGUGGAAUUUCAGGUGUAGCGGUGAAAUGCGUAGAGAUCUGAAGGAACACCAGUGGCGAAGGCGACUCCCUGGACUCAAACUGACGCUGAGGUACGAAAGCGUGGGUAGCAAACAGGAUUAGAUACCCGAGUAGUC